Molecule: non-coding RNA, 73 nt
Organism: Aedes albopictus (Asian tiger mosquito)
Lineage: Eukaryota; Metazoa; Arthropoda; Insecta; Diptera; Culicidae
Source: Rfam
GGCUCGGUAGCUUAGUUGGAUAAGGCACUUGUCUAGCGUAUAAGGACCGUGAGUUCAAAUCUCACCCGAGCUG